GAAUACCCCACACUCCCUAAUGAGUGUACAAGUAGCCCGAGGUGCAAGGGAUGAUGGGCACCUUACCUCCACGGCAGGAGUGGCAUGGAAAGAAGCUGUCUGACUUGCUGUCUGGAGCCUGGCACACUGAUUGCUCUGCUGACCCCUGAGAAGCCAGAGGAUCCCAAAGGUCCUUCUAGCAGCAGCAGGACCAGCCACGGAGGUACCGCCUCAUCAAACGCGAUCGUCUGAUCCACUCCUUACAGCCACACAAAUAACUCAGCAACCCGAGAGGAUGUAAGGCUUAUGAUCCUGAGAGCCCUGCUGAACCCCGAUGCACAAAAACUUGAAAUGGUAUUAGUGCUGGAAUUCACACUUCACAAAGAAAUACAUGUUGGCAGAUAGACCAAAUGCAUAUAAGUUUUUUUUUCUUUAACUUGAAAUAAAUGUGAAUUAACAAAAGUU
This is a long non-coding RNA of Rhea pennata, 444 nucleotides long. RefSeq lists it as uncharacterized. The transcript is spliced from 3 exons. Lineage: Eukaryota; Metazoa; Chordata; Aves; Rheiformes; Rheidae. The record is from RefSeq and is a predicted model, not a curated record.